GACGAACGCUGGCGGCGUGCUUAACACAUGCAAGUCGAACGGAGAUGCUCCAGCUUUCUGGAGUGGACCAGUGGCGAACGGGUGAGUAACACGUGAGCAACCUGCCCCUGACUCUGGAAUAAGCGCUGGAAACGGCGUCUAAUACUGGAUACGAAACUGGCCCGCAUGGGGAUGGUUAGGAAAGUUCUUCGGUUCGGGAUGGUCUCGCGGGUUAUCAGCUUGUUGGUGUGGUAGUGGCUGACGAAGGUUACGACGGGUAGCCGGCCUGAGAGGGCGACCGGCCACACUGGGACUGAGACACGGCCCAGACUCCUACGGGAGGCAGCAGUGGGGAAUAUUGCACAAUGGGCGAAAGCCUGAUGCAGCGACGCCGCGUGCGGAAUGACGGCCUUCGGGUUGUAAACCUCUUUCAGCAGGGAAGAAGCGAAAGUGACGGUACCUGCAGAAGAAGCACCGGCUAACUACGUG
This 468-nucleotide ribosomal RNA is filed under the name uncultured bacterium. RNAcentral describes it as "partial 16S ribosomal RNA". It matches the Rfam family "Bacterial small subunit ribosomal RNA", at positions 28 to 507 of the family's 1533-position model. The record is from RNAcentral.